RNAcentral lists this ribosomal RNA (253 nucleotides) under uncultured bacterium. RNAcentral's name for it is "partial 16S ribosomal RNA". It matches the Rfam family "Bacterial small subunit ribosomal RNA", at positions 524 to 776 of the family's 1533-position model. The record is from RNAcentral.
UACGUAGGGUGCGAGCGUUGUCCGGAAUUAUUGGGCGUAAAGAGCUCGUAGGCGGCUUGUCGCGUCGGAUGUGAAAGCCCGGGGCUUAACUCCGGGUCUGCAUUCGAUACGGGCAGGCUAGAGUUCGGUAGGGGAGAUCGGAAUUCCUGGUGUAGCGGUGAAAUGCGCAGAUAUCAGGAGGAACACCGGUGGCGAAGGCGGAUCUCUGGGCCUGUACUGACGCUGAGGAGCGAAAGCGUGGGGAGCGAACAGG